GGUCGCACCUGUAGCGCCAGCUGGCGAGUGGUCGCCGGCAGCCCCGUCGGGAACUCGGUGAGAUCCACUCCGCCGCAGUCCACCGCCCCCUCGGUCGUGCAGCUGCAGCCCGCCGGGCAUUCGCCGGGGUCCGACUUGGCCACGGCGAUGUCGGGAGCCCUGACGGGCUCCUCCUCCCGCGCCCCCGCUGGGAUCUGGCCCAGAACCACAAGUCCGGCCAGGAACAGCAGAACGCUAGGGGUCCGCGGGAUGGAAUGCUUGGGAAAGGCCAUGCUCGCAUCCCAGGGCUCCUGUUGCACAAGAACCAGAAUGUCUUGGAUCGUAACAUACUUUCCUGUAAACAGAAUUCUUUUUCUUUCUUUUUUUGGCCAUAAAAGUUCAACAAGGCUCCAGUGGCCUCGUGCUGGGGUGAAUCAUCCGCGCGGUACGCUGACAUCCACAUCCGAAUCGUCAACUCGCUGACUGCGCGGGGAUUUCCCGGCGUGCACCGAGACUAAAAACGCACCACUCCGGAAUCAUCUUUGUUGGCCAAAUGUUGCGGUCUACUUGCAUGGGGACCAGUGGCAAAAACAACGUUGUCAUUUGUCACGUGCACUCCAUUGAGGGACUCUCGUUAACGUGGCGGGAGUGGAGCGUUUGCUGCUCACGUGACUUGUGUGACAAAAUGGAUGCCACAAAAUUCUGCGGUACAGCUCAAGAUCCACCACAUGGAAAAAAGUCAAAGUGAACCCCGAUCUGCAGAUGAAAAACACGCAUCGAGUCUACCGAUCGAGGCGUAGCGGCCGCCCACAACGCUCUCGUCAAGUCUGACGGCAGCGGGCGCCAUCACGGGCCGAACCGAACCGCUGGCCGCAGGCGUUCCCGUGACAGAUUAAGCCGGAAAACGUGGGACAAGCGCUCACAGGGAGUGCGGUGGAGAUGGACGCCUGUCAAUCAAACCACUGCAACUCUUCUUCCUUUGCAUCACGACCAUCUUCAAGUGGUUUUUGCUCAUCUGGUUUAUUUGAUAAUGUUUCUUUUUUAUUAUACUGGAUGCCUUUGAAAUGUUUUGCAUUACAGCUGUAAGCGGUACAUUUUGUCCUCAUUGCCACAUGUGCACGUCGACCGUACGAAUAGACAUGACUAACGCACUGUAGACGCUCUUUCAGAAUCCAAGCUAAUGUUUGUCGAUACAUUGGAUUUGCCUAUUCGGCAGCAUGCGGCAUUCACUCGGACGCCUGAACUAGUUAGGAAGAUAAUGGCACACUUUCGAACGUGAUCGAAUGCCAUGUGACAGACGUAUACAUACCGUCUGUGGGUUCAUCUUUCCUGUCAUCAAGGCCAGCAGGUCCGAGUCGGACAUGGCGAUGGUGCAGUCUGCUUUCUUGGCUGACACACACAAAAAAACUUUCAUCAAACCUUUUUUUUUUUUUUUCUUC
Phycodurus eques (leafy seadragon) is the source of this 1418-nucleotide long non-coding RNA. RefSeq lists it as uncharacterized. The transcript has 4 exons. The record is from RefSeq and is a predicted model, not a curated record. Lineage: Eukaryota; Metazoa; Chordata; Actinopteri; Syngnathiformes; Syngnathidae.